AUACGGAGGAUGCGAGCGUUAUCCGGAUUCAUUGGGUUUAAAGGGUGCGCAGGCGGCGUGCCGAGUCAGCGGUCAAAUCCACGGGCUCAACCCGUGGCCGCCGUUGAUACUGGCAUGCUUGAGUGGGUGCGACGUGCGCAGAAUGCGUGGUGUAGCGGUGAAAUGCAUAGAUAUCACGCAGAACCCCGAUUGCGAAGGCAGCGCCCGAGCACUUUACUGACGCUGAGGCACGAAAGCGUGGGUAUCGAACAGGAUUAGAUACCCUGGUAGUCCACGCGGUAAACGAUGAAUACUGGUUAUCCGGGCGUUUUAGCCUGGGUGACUGAAGCGAAAGCAUUAAGUAUUCCACCUGGGGAGUACGCCGGCAACGGUGAAACUCAAAGGAAUUGACGGG
This 394-nucleotide ribosomal RNA is filed under the name uncultured bacterium. RNAcentral describes it as "partial 16S ribosomal RNA". It matches the Rfam family "Bacterial small subunit ribosomal RNA", at positions 523 to 917 of the family's 1533-position model. The record is from RNAcentral.